RNAcentral lists this ribosomal RNA (100 nucleotides) under Sistotrema sp. Its description in RNAcentral is "partial 28S ribosomal RNA". It matches the Rfam family "Eukaryotic large subunit ribosomal RNA", at positions 1 to 97 of the family's 3401-position model. The record is from RNAcentral. Lineage: Eukaryota; Fungi; Basidiomycota; Agaricomycetes; Cantharellales; Hydnaceae.
AUCUGGCCUCGAAUCAGGUGGGAUUACCCGCUGAACUUAAGCAUAUCAAUAAGCGGAGGAAAAGAAACUAACAAGGAUUCCCCUAGUAACGGCGAGUGAA